Molecule: ribosomal RNA, 468 nt
Filed under: uncultured bacterium
Lineage: Bacteria
Description: partial 16S ribosomal RNA
Rfam family: Bacterial small subunit ribosomal RNA
Source: RNAcentral
GACGAACGCUGGCGGCGUGCUUAACACAUGCAAGUCGAACGGUGAAGCUCCAGCUUGCUGGAGUGGAUCAGUGGCGAACGGGUGAGUAACACGUGAGCAACCUGCCCCUGACUCUGGAAUAAGCGCUGGAAACGGCGUCUAAUACUGGAUACGAGAAGGGUCCGCAUGGGCACUUUCUGGAAAGUUUUUCGGUUGGGGAUGGGCUCGCGGCCUAUCAGCUUGUUGGUGAGGUAAUGGCUCACCAAGGCGACGACGGGUAGCCGGCCUGAGAGGGCGACCGGCCACACUGGGACUGAGAAACGGCCCAGACUCCUACGGGAGGCAGCAGUGGGGAAUAUUGCACAAUGGGCGAAAGCCUGAUGCAGCGACGCCGCGUGAGGGAUGACGGCCUUCGGGUUGUAAACCUCUUUCAGCAGGGAAGAAGCGAAAGUGACGGUACCUGCAGAAGAAGCACCGGCUAACUACGUG